AAUUACAACUGACCUGCCAAUACCUCUAUGUUUAGUAAUUAUAAUCCUUAUGAGAAGAAGCCCCGCAAUCGACGAAUAUUUAUAUGAACAUUGGUUUUUAUAGAACAUUAGCAUAGUAACCGCUUACACUUAUUUUUUUAACAUCUUCAAACCAUACAUCUAUGAAAAACCCCACGUAAUGAUACACAUACUUGCCUAACCACCAUUCCUUAAUUGAUAAUUAAGUUAUCAAGAUAUGUGAAAUUAUAUAAGCAGCAUAUCCAAAUGUGUAUUGCUCAUUAAUUGUUAGGCAUUAAAAUUCGUAGUAUGGUUGAGCAAACGAAGUAUAAGAAAUGAUGUUUUACCAAUCAACCGACGAUAAUUCGCUCAGUUUACCAGCUACCAACAAAUUUCUUAGUUUAUGAAUGCUUGGUUCAACAUGAAGUAAUACUAAAUAGAACUUUGUUGAGAUUUCUCAAUAACAGACAAAAUAUACAUGAUAC
Molecule: non-coding RNA, 482 nt
Organism: Schizosaccharomyces pombe (fission yeast)
Lineage: Eukaryota; Fungi; Ascomycota; Schizosaccharomycetes; Schizosaccharomycetales; Schizosaccharomycetaceae
Source: the annotation of a GenBank genome assembly